CCAAUAGCGUAUAUUAAAGUUGUUGCAGUUAAAAAGCUCGUAGUUGAACUUCGGGGUUUACUCAUUGGUCAGGCUUAAUUGUCUGUACUGGUGAGAUGAAUCUCUACCUUCUGAGGAACUUUCAUGCCAUUUAUUUGGUGUGAUGGGAAAUCAGGACUGUUACUUUGAAAAAAUUAGAGUUUUUAAAGCAGGCUAACGUCUGAAUACAUUAGCAUGGAAUAAUGAAAUAGGACGGACUGAUUCUAUUUCGUUGGUUUCUAGGAUCACCGUAAUGAUUAAUAGGGAUAGUUGGGGGCAUUAGUAUUCAAUUGUCAGAGGUGAAAUUCUUGGAUUUAUUGAAGACUAACUACUGCGAAAGCAUUUGCCAAGGAUGUUUUCAUUAAUCAAGAACGAAAGUUAGGGGAUCGAAGACGAUCAGAUACCGUCGUAGUCUUAACCAUAAACUAUGCCGACUAGGGAUCGGACGAAGUUAAUUUUAUAAUGACGCGUUCGGCACCUUACG
This 502-nucleotide ribosomal RNA is filed under the name uncultured Glomeromycotina. Its description in RNAcentral is "partial small subunit ribosomal RNA". It matches the Rfam family "Eukaryotic small subunit ribosomal RNA", at positions 591 to 1092 of the family's 1831-position model. Lineage: Eukaryota; Fungi; Glomeromycota. The record is from RNAcentral.